CUACUCUUGACAUCCAGAGAAGCCAGCGGAGACGCAUGUGUGCCUUCGGGAGCUCUGAGACAGGUGCUGCAUGGCUGUCGUCAGCUCGUGUUGUGAAAUGUUGGGUUAAGUCCCGCAACGAGCGCAACUCUUAUCCUUGUUUGCCAGCGAGUAAUGUCGGGAACUCCAGGGAGACUGCCGGUGAUAAACCGGAGGAAGGUGGGGACGACGUCAAGUCAUCAUGGCCCUUACGAGUAGGGCUACACACGUGCUACAAUGGCGCAUACAGAGGGCAGCCAACUUGCGAAAGUGAGCGAAUCCCAAAAAGUGCGUCGUAGUCCGGAUUGGAGUCUGCAACUCGACUCCAUGAAGUCGGAAUCGCUAGUAAUCGUAGAUCAGAAUGCUACGGUGAAUACGUUCCCGGGUCUUGUA
RNAcentral lists this ribosomal RNA (411 nucleotides) under uncultured bacterium. Its description in RNAcentral is "bacterial SSU rRNA". It matches the Rfam family "Bacterial small subunit ribosomal RNA", at positions 975 to 1385 of the family's 1533-position model. The record is from RNAcentral.